Long non-coding RNA from Strigops habroptila (Kakapo), 1193 nucleotides. RefSeq lists it as uncharacterized. NCBI's taxonomy places the organism in Eukaryota, Metazoa, Chordata, Aves, Psittaciformes, Psittacidae. The transcript has 4 exons. The record is from RefSeq and is a predicted model, not a curated record.
GGGGUCGUUGCCCAGGGUUGAGGUAACGCGCGCCGUCCUCCCGCACCGCCAACCCUCGCUGUGUCCCUCUCGGCCGCCCCCUCUUAGGUACCUUCUCUCUGUGAGCGCACCUGGCUGGUGGCCGUGCCGGGCUAACCCUGCGGCUCGGCCCGGCCCGGCCCGGCCCGGCGCUAGGCGGGAUUUCAGAGGUGAGGCCGGGGCGGCUGCCACGAAGCUUUCCUCCAGGUGCUGCCGCCGCACGAGUUGGAAAUUCGAGGCAAAACUCGGGGUACGGUUCAAACCUCGGCCGUGUAAACACACCUAAGCAAGUUGUAUGAAGUGGUCUGCUGCAUGCAGUAUUUGCCUGCAUUUGAAGAAAGACUUUUGACUCCUAAAAAGGACCCGAGUGAGUGCGUAGGGAUCACCGCAGCCCUGCAGUGGAUGAAUGAUUGUGAGCGGGUUCUUGAAAAUGCCGUAGUAACAAUCUGAGGGGGACACCACUGGUUUCCCAAAGUUAUUAAACAUACCAAAUUGAAGAUGUGAUGGUGAAGUACUUGUUUUGAUAAGCAAUCAUUUUUUGCAAAGUUAACAUAAUAUAGAUGCCUUUAUGUAAGACAUUUCAUCAAUUACCAAACGUAUAUAAUUUAAUAUUUUCCUUUCCAUAUCAUAAUAAAAUACUGGUAAAAUAACAAAACCCCCCAAACUUAUUUUAUUGGUACUAGUCUUUACUGGUACUAGAUACUAAAGUAUCUAAUAUCCUUUACUUAAGUAAAAAACAAUAUAAUGUCAUUUAAUUGUAAAAGUAAGAUGAGGACUACACAGAUACACAACUUACAUUGUGUAAGAAAAAAACCUCCAGGUAUUUGAAGUACAGGAGGCCUUAGGUCAAGAUUAAAUCACAGGUAACACAUAACCAUAUUUCUGUGUAACUGUGAUGGGUGAAGUUUAUGGUUUUACCCUACAGAAAGCAUGUGUGCCAAACAUCGCAGAUCUUCCAAAGAUAGCAAUGCACACACAUUUAAUGACAUAGAAUAUGUGCAUAUUAAGUAUUACAUACAGUGCUUCUCCUACUAGAGAAAAUAAAAAAUACAACCAGGAAAUUCAAGAGGGAAAAGGGUGUGUGUGUGUCUGUAAAUAACUGCAUACUUAUCUCUAAGAUAUUUUGAGCUGAAAUUGCAGCCAUCUUAAUAAUGACAACAACAAUAAUAAAAAAA